GAGCUGAUCAGUGCUGGUCGCUGAGGAAAUACAUCAACUUUGCACUGUGGAUCGCCAAAUCGGCUUUCACCGUGGACGAAGUGGAGUCCAGCCCGGGGUCAUCACAUGUGGUUGCUGCAAGACCAAGGAGUUGGCGAUAGUGGAACACUACCAGGAACCAAACCAUUAAAACCUACAGGUACUUCAUGCCAUUCACUUAACUCUUAUUGUCUCUAUAUAUUUGGGCAAGCAGGUGCUUUUUCAUUUGUAAAAAGAUUUAUUAUUAUUACUGUAGGCAUUGGACGUGGAGAUACUCCGGGCACCAUUGAAGGAGGACCUGGAAGUCUAGGUGGUGGUCCAUGUGGGGUUGGUGGUGAGCCAGGUGGAGUUCCGGUAGGGGUUGGUGGUGGUCCAGGUGGAGUUCCGGGAGGAGUUGGUGGUGGUCCAGGUGGAGUUCCGGGAGGAGUUGGUGGUGGGGCAGGUGGAGUUGGUGGAGUUCCAGGAGGAGUUAAACCCCCUUUAGGUGUUUUACUGUGAAAAUCUUGAUCUGUAAAAUGUCUAUUAGCUGUGUUUUUCUCUGUUUGUAAAACAAGGACUGUAUUACAAUCAUUGUGUUCUAGUUUACAGCGUUACAGGUGGAACUGGAGCUCUUGGAGUUGGAGGUGUAGGUGGAACGGGUCCAGCUGGAGUGGGAGGAGUUGGACUUCUGCCAGGAGGUGAAGCUGAAUAAAGUGCACUUAAAAUUGACA
Molecule: long non-coding RNA, 728 nt
Organism: Cyprinus carpio (common carp)
Lineage: Eukaryota; Metazoa; Chordata; Actinopteri; Cypriniformes; Cyprinidae
Source: Ensembl